RNAcentral lists this long non-coding RNA (486 nucleotides) under Heterocephalus glaber (naked mole-rat). RNAcentral describes it as "lncRNA (ENSHGLG00100044557.1)". The record is from RNAcentral. Lineage: Eukaryota; Metazoa; Chordata; Mammalia; Rodentia; Bathyergidae.
GUCUGCAGGUGACCGAGCCAGCCCUGCACCUCAGGUGGCUGAGCUGUCUGGCACAUGCAAAGGUCCUGAGGUGCCUCUGAAGAACUAGCAGAUGUUGCAUGUUGUGAGAUUGGAGAAGGCGCAGAGGUGAGAAAGGCCAGAGAUCGGGGUGAGCGGGCAUGGAAACUAUCCCGGGACCCACGGGCCGCCCCUGGAGGCUUCAGAGCCAAGCAUGAUGAGGUCAGAUUCGUGUUUUGGCAAAUAUCUCUUGAGUGGCUGCUGGGAGGGUCAGUGAGGAGGGCAGGGAGGAAGGGAGGUCAGCAGGAGGUUGUUGGUGUAAUCCACAGGGUGGCCCGGCUGUGGGCUGGGGAGGUCCCGGCGCUGGAGAAAAGUGGGGGGAGGUGGGCGGCAGAGAACUCUCGGGGCUGCUGGGAAGACACUGGGACAUCCGGGUGCUCCUCAAAGCCAGCGCUCGCGGACUUGCGGACUUGGGUUUCUUGGGUUUCG